This 514-nucleotide ribosomal RNA is filed under the name uncultured bacterium. RNAcentral's name for it is "bacterial SSU rRNA". It matches the Rfam family "Bacterial small subunit ribosomal RNA", at positions 8 to 518 of the family's 1533-position model. The record is from RNAcentral.
AGAGUUUGAGUUAUGGCUCAGGAUGAACGCUGGCGGCGUGCUUAACACAUGCAAGUCGAACGGAGAACAUUCGCUGAAGCGAGCUUGCUCAAUCUUGAGUGUUCUUAGUGGCGGACGGGUGAGUAACGCGUGGGUAACCUGCCCAUUACCGGGGGACAACAGUUGGAAACGGCUGCUAAUACCGCAUAAGCGCACAGUUUCGCAUGAAACGGUGUGAAAAACUCCGGGUGGUAAAUGGAUGGACCCGCGUCUGAUUAGCUAGUUGGUGAGGUAACGGCCCACCAAGGCGACGAUCAGUAGCCGGCCUGAGAGGGUGAACGGCCACAUUGGGACUGAGACACGGCCCAAACUCCUACGGGAGGCAGCAGUGGGGAAUAUUGCACAAUGGGGGAAACCCUGAUGCAGCGACGCCGCGUGAGUGAAGAAGUAUUUCGGUAUGUAAAGCUCUAUCAGCAGGGAAGAAAAUGACGGUACUUGACUAAGAAGCCCCGGCUAACUACGUGCCAGCAGCGGC